This 172-nucleotide unclassified non-coding RNA is filed under the name Aeromonas salmonicida. RNAcentral also lists the same sequence under 1 other name. The record is from RNAcentral. Lineage: Bacteria; Pseudomonadati; Pseudomonadota; Gammaproteobacteria; Aeromonadales; Aeromonadaceae.
UAUUGGUUCCCCCUGCAAACCGCCGAGUCGAGUUCAACGGGUCAGGAGCGCCAUCAUGGAUGAUGGCGCAGCCGCAGCCGGCACAGGGAUGUGCCGUCUGCGGCGCUCCGUCCAACCCGUUGGACGAGACGAGGGAACCCGCGAAGCGGGCGGUUUGCCGGGGGAGAAGACU